AAGACGAAAUAUUGUCUACGGUCUACAGCCUACAAGUAACAGGCGCUUUAGAUCAUAUCAUAAUAUUGUUAGUCUAAGUUAAGUGUAUGAAGUACAAUAUGAUCUAAGCAUCGUAAUAAUAUUCGUAUUAUAAGUAAUUUUUAAUACUGUUUUAAUUGAAGUUUAAUACCCAAUGACCGAUGUUUUUUUAAGUUUUAAAUUAUAUGUUCGUAAUAAUAUGGUGAAUGACCAUUUGGUAAUUUACAUAAUACUAUGACAAUUUAUUCAUUUUAAAUAUUAUACUAGAUUUUUACUUGAUGAAGAACUGUUAACGUAGCCGCGUGGUACUGUAUCGCUGAAAAAAUUCAAAAUGUUUUUCUGGUUGCUACUUGCUAGGCGACGUCGUCGUUACUCGAAAUCUGUUAGAAAUAAACGGUGACGAAAAAAAAAUGUACACAUAGCAAAAACAUUAUCCAUGUUACAAUAGAGUGGAUUGUGUUUAUUUCUCAGAGAACCAUUGAAUUCCUAUUCAAGAAUAAUGGUUGUUUCGUUUAUGAUGAUACCAAUCCUGACAUACGUGACAAAUCAAUUGAAGUGACUAUUAUUAUCCAAUGUGCACAAUAAAUCCAAAACAUUUAAGAUGGAUGGUUGCAAUUUGAUUGUGAAGAUUUUUGUGUUCAUAUUGAAGACCAUAGAAGAAGACAAAUAAUUUUUGUACCUAACAUAUUAUUUUUAUAUUGAUUGUAUCAUUCGUAUCAAAUUUAAUACUUGAUAUUUGCUCCUUUUUAAAGCUUAUAGGAAACAAUAUUAAGUUUGAUUGGUCACUAACUAUUUUGAACUGAUUAAAUGGGCCUGCAGCAACCAUUCUAUAUAGAUGAAAUAUAAAUACAAAUAAAUUAAAUUGGUUGACUGAUACUGUUUUUCCCAUAACACAA
This is a long non-coding RNA of Myzus persicae (green peach aphid), 914 nucleotides long. RefSeq lists it as uncharacterized. The record is from RefSeq and is a predicted model, not a curated record. The transcript has 3 exons. NCBI's taxonomy places the organism in Eukaryota, Metazoa, Arthropoda, Insecta, Hemiptera, Aphididae.